UACGGGGGGGGCAAGCGUUGUUCGGAAUUACUGGGCGUAAAGGGCGCGUAGGCGGUUUGCUAAGUUGAAUGUGAAAACUCUGGGCUUAACCCAGAGCCUGCAUUCAAUACUGGCAGGCUGGAGUUCUGGAGGGGAUAGCGGAAUUCCAGGUGUAGCGGUGAAAUGCGUAGAUAUCUGGAGGAAUACCGGUGGCGAAGGCGGCAUCCUGGACCGGCAUUGACGCUGAGGAGCGAAAGCUAGGGGAGCAAACGGG
This 253-nucleotide ribosomal RNA is filed under the name uncultured bacterium. RNAcentral describes it as "partial 16S ribosomal RNA". It matches the Rfam family "Bacterial small subunit ribosomal RNA", at positions 524 to 776 of the family's 1533-position model. The record is from RNAcentral.